This 2721-nucleotide unclassified non-coding RNA is filed under the name Hevea brasiliensis (rubber tree). Lineage: Eukaryota; Viridiplantae; Streptophyta; Magnoliopsida; Malpighiales; Euphorbiaceae. The record is from RNAcentral.
GAGAAUCCAAACUUUGGGCACUUUUAAUUAUUGUAAUUGAACAUGAAAAUAUUUUAAUAAGCUACAUUUACAUUAAAAUUACAUGAAAAAAUAUUCUAAAAAAAACGAAAAGGCAAAACGUUUGGCAUCGCUUUUUAAGCAGAGGGACACACCAAAGUUCCUCAUUCGACUUCAAACCACAUAGACCGUCUGGAUCACUUGUUAUCCCUUGUUCACUAUUUUGCAAACUUUUCUCUCUCUUCUUAUUCUUCUUCUUCAACAAUCCCUUCUCUGCUAGUGUUUUCAGAUUUUGCUUUUUUCCGUUCUUUUGCUUUCUCCUCAAAGCCAUCGUCCAUCAUCUUCAUUGGUUAUGAUAAGAUCACAACGUUCUUUUGCAAAACGUUUGGCAUAUCUGCUAAUUAUAAUUUAUGAUAAGAUCUUUAUUCAUUGGUUAUGCCUAAUAAUGAAAAGCUACAUCCACCUCAUCAUCACUACCCCUGGACUCCCUAGAAUUAACCUAUACAUAUGCAGCAAGGGUUCCUUAAGGACGCCUUUACACUCAAAUUCCUCUAGUUGUUUCCCAAGAAUAGCUUCUAUCUCGUAUUGUUCUGCAAAUUUAACAUCACAAAGUUAAGCAAUGUGCAAUCCAAAAACAAGCACACAACAAGGUCUUCACUAGUUCAGAAUUGGAUAAAGCUCUAUGUACACCAAUUUGCAUCAUGCGCUCAGUGUAACACAAUUCUGACACGUACAAAGCAGGCAAAUAUGCAUACACAGGGAUAAUAAAUUUCAAUCCUGUCAAUUAAAUACAGACAUACUGGAGCUUUCAGAUUAAGUGCCCUCAUAAGGGGAAGGUGUAAAAUUGUGGUAGUCAACUUACAAUCGGCUUCAAUUACGUGCAUGUAGCUUGUAACUGGAAAGAACCAUGCCAAUGAUAAAACUGCAAAAGGAGGAGGUAUCAAACAGAUGUGAAAUCAUUCUCAAUCCCUUAAAGUUGAGAUACAAUCUACUGUCUACUUCACGUCACAAAUUAUGCGAAAUUUAAGACUAAUUGAUUACCCCAACAAAUGCAGUCACAAGGAAAAAAAAACAUCUUAAUGGAUUGGCUUCUAAAUAUUUUAAUAUCUACGCCAAACAGUAUAAGUAUGUUCAAAGGAUUAAUAAUACAACGAUGCAUGCAAAAUCAGACACCUGAAGAAAGAGAAGCAAAUCAUUGGGGGAUUAUUCAUAUUCACAUUCAUCCAUUUACUAUUCUUUUGUCAUUAUUGCUAGUGCAAAGUCAAACAAACAAAUAAAUGUUAAGACACAGUGAACACAUAUGCCUAGACCAGUAGACCCUAGUAAUAUAGAAUAUAAUUUCAAAGAUACUUUUAUAUUUGACGUUGCCACCUCUGCUACAGGCCCAAAAUAGCAGUCCAAAAAAAAAUUUACAAUCUACGAAUAUUAUCUUGCAAGCCUCCGCUGUUUACCUCAGCAACAAAACUCACAACCAUUUGUCCUCUGCCUGCUCUAGCAGAAUGCCCUACACGAUGAACAUAAUCUCUGGGAUAGAUGCAAAAAACUAGCAGUUAAAAUCCAUUUCACAGAAAUUUUCAAAGUAAGAAUAAAGAUAUUUUGAUAGGUAUAACUUUGGAAUAUCAUAAUUGAUAACAAGAUCAAAAGUAGGAGCGUACAACUGGCAACAUCAGUUGCAAUCAAUACAGAAGCUUGUCCAGAUUUGAAACGGUGUACAGCAGAAAGUCUCAAAGACUGAGAUUUGAAUGAAUGCAAUGCUGCUGCUUCCUGAUCAGGCUCUUCCAGUGAUAAACUCAAAAGGUGAUAACUUCUGCUUCCACAUUACAGAGAUGAAUGGGCAAAGAGUAAAUAUCAACAUCUUGAAGCAAUGAGUUUGCAGAAACUAAUUUUUCUUCCAAAUGCAAGCCAAUCUACUACCACAAAUCAGACCAUCAAAAUUCUAUAGUACUAUAUGCCCAGUAGUAGAAAUCCCCUUUUUCCCCCAUUUUGCUUUUUACUAUGUACAGCCAAAAAAUAAUUAGAAAAUGAUUUAGCAGGCCUAUAUCUUCUUGAAGAUGUAAUCCUAAACCAGGUUGAUUAAUAAAUGAUCUAUAAUAUAGCUGCGUCUUAACUAGUAUGGAAGACCCAAUUGAAUUGAGUUAUAGAACAGAUGCCAUUUUAGAGAGAUUACCAUGGCAAACAAAGGAUUGCAUAUGAAAAAAAUCAACAUGUUAUUUGUCAUCCAAUGUACCAGCUACAAAUGCCAUGUUUUAGCAUGAAUUUUGACACAAGAAAUAAGCAAAGAACACAAAUGCAACAAGUACUACAAAUAUAGGAUUAGAAUGAAUAAACAAUGAGAAGAAAUUCAGAUUGAGGAACAUAUACCUGCAGGUAGACACAAAUAUCAUGGCAGAUCGAAUACCCAUAUCUUCCAUUUUAGACAAAAUGUGAACAAGAUAAACAUCCUUCACAUUCUUAGGGAUGAAAACAUACUGCUGUUUAAGAGUGUCAACUGUCUUGAAGCCUUCAUAGGCCUCAUAGAAAUAUGCCUUAUUUGCAGAAAGCUCAAGUAGCGUUUCCAAGUUACUUGUCAUUGUUGCAGAAAACAAUAGAGUUUGCCGGUUUUUUGGUAAGCAAUGAAACACUGCUCUUAAUUCUUCUUGAAAUCCAACAUCCAGAACUCUAUCAGCUUCAUCCAAAACGAGGAACUUGGUUCUAGAGAAGACAGGAGGGAUAUCAGGAUUCUCC